Molecule: transfer RNA, 71 nt
Filed under: Lepidogalaxias salamandroides (salamanderfish)
Lineage: Eukaryota; Metazoa; Chordata; Actinopteri; Lepidogalaxiiformes
Description: tRNA-Met
Rfam family: tRNA
About the family: Transfer RNA (tRNA) molecules are approximately 80 nucleotides in length. Their secondary structure includes four short double-helical elements and three loops (D, anti-codon, and T loops).
Source: RNAcentral
AGUAAGGUCAGCUAAAUUAAGCUCUUGGGCCCAUACCCCAAAAAUGUUGGUUCAAAUCCUUCCCAUACUAA